GCACGGGGGCAACCCUGGUGGCGAGUGGCGAACGGGUGAGUAAUACAUCGGAACGUGCCCAGUCGUGGGGGAUAACUACGCGAAAGCGUAGCUAAUACCGCAUACGAUCUACGGAUGAAAGCGGGGGAUCGCAAGACCUCGCGCGAUUGGAGCGGCCGAUGGCAGAUUAGGUAGUUGGUGGGGUAAAGGCUCACCAAGCCGACGAUCUGUAGCUGGUCUGAGAGGACGACCAGCCACACUGGGACUGAGACACGGCCCAGACUCCUACGGGAGGCAGCAGUGGGGAAUUUUGGACAAUGGGCGCAAGCCUGAUCCAGCCAUUCCGCGUGCAGGAUGAAGGCCCUCGGGUUGUAAACUGCUUUUGUACGGAACGAAACGCGCCGGGCUAAUACCUUGGCGUAAUGACGGUACCGUAAGAAUAAGCACCGGCUAACUACGUGCCAGCAGCCGCGGUAAUACGUAGGGUGCAAGCGUUAAUCGGAAUUACUGGGCGUAAAGCGUGCGCAGGCGGUGAUGUAAGACAGAUGUGAAAUCCCCGGGCUCAACCUGGGAACUGCAUUUGUGACUGCAUCGCUGGAGUGCGGCAGAGGGGGAUGGAAUUCCGCGUGUAGCAGUGAAAUGCGUAGAUAUGCGGAGGAACACCGAUGGCGAAGGCAAUCCCCUGGGCCUGCACUGACGCUCAUGCACGAAAGCGUGGGGAGCAAACAGG
Molecule: ribosomal RNA, 709 nt
Filed under: uncultured beta proteobacterium
Lineage: Bacteria; Pseudomonadati; Pseudomonadota; Betaproteobacteria
Description: bacterial SSU rRNA
Rfam family: Bacterial small subunit ribosomal RNA
Source: RNAcentral